AACCUAGCACACCUGCGGUGUGUACCUGCGGAAGGAUCAUUAACGAGUUACCACUCUAUAACCCUUUGUGAACAUACCUACAUGUUGCUUUGGCGGUCGGCCCCCCCGGGCCCCCGGCCCCGCUCACGCGGGGCGUCCGCCGGAGGAUAACCAAACUCUGAUUUAACGACGUUUCUUCUGAGUGGCACAAGCAAAUAAUCAAAACUUUCAACAACGGAUCU
This 221-nucleotide unclassified non-coding RNA is filed under the name soil metagenome. Its description in RNAcentral is "partial contains 5.8S ribosomal RNA, internal transcribed spacer 2, and large subunit ribosomal RNA". The record is from RNAcentral.